ACAUUUCUUUUAGAUUAUUUUAUAAGUAAAGUCUGCCCACUGUUAAAAUAAAGGGCCGCGGUAUUUUGACCGUGCAAAGGUAGCAUAAUCAUUAGCCUUUUAAUUGGAGGAUGGAAUGAAUGGCUUAAUGAUUUUUCUCUAUUAUUUUUAUUAAAAAAUAAAUUUGAUUUUAAGUGAAAAAACUUAAUUAUUUUAAAUAGACGAUAAGACCCUAUAGAAUUUUAUUUUUUUUAUUAUUUAAUAUUAUUAAAAAAGUUUAAAUGGGGCAUUUUUUGACUAAUAAAAAUUUCUAAUUAAUUAUUUAAAAAUAUCUUUUUUUUAAUAAAAUAAAAAAAUUACCUUAGGGAUAACAGCGUAAUAAUUUUUAAGAGUUCAUAUCGACAAAAUAGUUUGCGACCUCGAUGUUGAAUUAAAAUUCUUUUAUGGAGCAGCUUUUAUAAAAAGUAGUCUGUUCGACCUAUUAAAUUUUUACAUGAUUUGAGU
RNAcentral lists this ribosomal RNA (483 nucleotides) under Tomocerus fopingensis. RNAcentral's name for it is "partial large subunit ribosomal RNA". It matches the Rfam family "Bacterial large subunit ribosomal RNA", at positions 1826 to 2610 of the family's 2925-position model. Lineage: Eukaryota; Metazoa; Arthropoda; Collembola; Entomobryomorpha; Tomoceridae. The record is from RNAcentral.